Molecule: ribosomal RNA, 406 nt
Filed under: uncultured bacterium
Lineage: Bacteria
Description: partial 16S ribosomal RNA
Rfam family: Bacterial small subunit ribosomal RNA
Source: RNAcentral
AUUGAACGCUGGCGGCAGGCCUAACACAUGCAAGUCGAACGAGUGGCCGACGGGUGAGUAAUGUCUGGGAAACUGCCUGAUGGAGGGGGUUAACUACUGGCAACGGUUGCUAAUACCGCAUACCAUCGGAUGUGCCCUGAUGGGCUUAGCUAGUCGGUGGGGUAAAGGCUCACCUAGGCGACGAUCCCUAGCGGGUCUGAGAGGAUGACCAGCCACACUGGAACUGAGACACGGUCCAGACUCCUACGGGAGGCAGCAGUGGGGAAUAUUGCACAAUGGGCGCAAGCCUGAUGCAGCCAUGCCGCGGGUAUGAAGAAGGCCUUCGGGUUGUAAAGUACUUUCAGCGGGGAGGCGUUACCCGCAGAAGAAGCACCGGCUAACUCCGUGCCAGCAGCCGCGGUAAUAC